Molecule: small RNA, 477 nt
Filed under: Pongo abelii (Sumatran orangutan)
Lineage: Eukaryota; Metazoa; Chordata; Mammalia; Primates; Hominidae
Description: retained intron
Source: RNAcentral
AGGCUUGCUGUUCUGCAAACCAGCUAUGGCCUGGUGGCCCAUGGCCGUAGGCCGUAGCCUCCUGUGAACUGUGCCACACGUUCUCAUCUUCAGAUCUCUGGCCCAACCCGCUGGGUGCCCUGGAUCUCCCCCGAGACCACCGCCCGGCCCCACCUGGCUGUCAUCGGGCUGGAUGCCUACCUGUGGUCUCGCCAGCACGUUUCCCGGAGGACACAGCAGCCAGAGCGCCCGAAGGUGGCCGGUGCCGAGGUGGCCGUCGGCUGGCCGGAGGUGGAAGAGGCCCUGGUACUCCUGCAGCUCUGGGCAAACCUGGACGUGCUACUGGUGGCCUCGUGGCAGGAGCUGAGUCGGCACGUGUGCGCCGUUACCAAGGCACUCGCCCAGUAUCCCCUCAAGCAGUACCGGGAAUCGCAGGCCUUUUCCUUCUGCACAGCAGGGCACUGGGCAGCCGGCGAGCCAGUGGCAAGAGACGGCACA